GACAGAGGCCCCAAGCGUUAGGCGGAAUCACUGGGCUUAAAGCGUGUGUAGGCGGUUCGUUAAGUGUCUUGUGAAAUCCCACGGCUCACCCGUGGAACUGCUGGGCAUACUGGCGAUCUUGGGCCAACUAGGGGCAGUCGGAACAAGCGGUGGAGCGGUGAAAUGCGUAGAUAUCGCUUGGAACGCCGAAGGUGAAAACAGACUGCUGGGGUUGCGCCGACGCUGAGACACGAAAGCCAGGGGAGCAAACGGG
Molecule: ribosomal RNA, 253 nt
Filed under: uncultured bacterium
Lineage: Bacteria
Description: partial 16S ribosomal RNA
Rfam family: Bacterial small subunit ribosomal RNA
Source: RNAcentral